CAGACGAAGGAACCAGUACAAUGGACAAAAUCGUGAGGAGUUUUUCUUCUUGGCUGCAUUUUUUAUUCUUUCUUUCUGCCCAAGGCUGGCAUAGUACAGGGGACGGCUCACCAACCCAAGAAUCUCAUCUCUCGACUCUUCAGUCUUCUCCCCUCUCAAUUUCCUUCCACCACAACCACAAAACAACUCCUCCUCUCUCGGCUCCCCCUCUCAAUUUUCUUCCACCAUCACACACUCACACAAAAGCACCCUCUUAGUCCCUUUCUUUUUUAAGAUAGACAAACACCCACAUCACUCCAUUCCCCUUUUCUCUCUAGGCGGAAGGUAGAAACUAGGGGAAAGGGAAGAAACAAGAAAAGUGUCUUAGAAGAGAAAAGAAGAAAAAUCAAAGAAGAAGCCGGCUCACCGUAAGCAACAUCAAAGCUUCAUUCACCGUUAUCAACAUCAAAGCUUCAUUGGCAAAGAGUACUGUGAGUUUCCUCUAUCUUUCUACUCCUAGUUUCUGCUUCUGUAACCUUUUGUUCUUUCGUUUUCUUUUCCUUCAUUUUAUUUGUUUCCUUAUUUCUGUAACCUUUGGUUUUUAUUUGUUUUCCUUCAUUUUUCUUAUUUCGUUUCAUUUAUUUUUCUUAUUUUGUUUUUAUUGUCCUGUUGCUCAAAUGGUUGUUGUUGGGUUGCUGAAUUUUUGGGAUAGGUCAUGAACAAAAUUAGGAAAAGAAGAAUGGGGUUUUGGAAUGCAUGCUGCAUGUUUGAUAAAAUGCUUAAAUGAAAAAAAUUGAAUUAAAGUGUUAAAUUUUGUAUAUAUAUUUUUGUUAAAAUAGAUGGUUAUGGUUAGUUCAUGGCCUGGAGACAUUUUUUUUCUCAAACUCUCGAUUUUUUUUGAGCCUUGAAGGCAACGAAAUAUUUUUUUUUAUUCAGGGCUGUUUUGCUUUAAUUUAUAAUAUUGUUGUUUUUUUUUUUUGAUUUAAGGUCAUAGUUGUAUUGUAGAAAUCACAUGAAGUGUUUUGAUAUAAAUUUUAUGAUUUUUGGCGGAGGUUUGAGUGAUUUUAAAAAUAAAACCUAGUUCUAAAUUGCUUUUUUGAGUACUUUUUAUUUAUUUAUUUUUUUGUAAAAACUAAGGUUGGAAAUGGAUUUUAUGUGAAAAAUUGAGUAGAAAGGUGUAGUUUGGUGAAUUUUUAGGACUAGAGAGGUCGUCGACUGGAUUGUUUCAUUAUCUCUGGUUGGGCUUCUGUGUUGUUUUUAUCGGGCUUUUGCCUGGUUUGAAAUGGUUAAACCUAAUACAUUGGUUAGUUGGUUACUCAAGCUUUUAGUUGGACUCUUUUCUGUUUUUAAACAAGAUGAUCUUCAAUUUUCUCUUGGGCUGAAGUUGUAUGGCCCAAAUAUCAAGUGGCCCAUUUUCGUUUCUUCAUAUUUUGCACAAAGUAGAAAUUGAAUUUUGCAAUUUAGCUCCUAAUCUUUUGAGUAAUUUUAUUAUGACUCAAACAUUUUGAAUUUCUUUCAUUCAGGCCCUUAAUUUAAUUGCAUUUUGCCCCAUAAACUUUAUCUUUAUUCAAAUUUGAAUCUUAAUUUUUUUGAGAAUUAUAAUUUGAGCCCUAAAACUUAAUUUUUUGCAAUUAAGUCCCUAUUAUUUUUUGAUUUCUCAAUUACAAUUUUUUUCUUCUUUAAUUGCUAACUGUGCUUCAUUUAAAUGCAUUUAAUUUGUAAAUUUUGGUUGCUUUAUAUUUAUUUCCAUUUUUCACAAUAAUAAAGGGAGUUUAGUAUAUGUUUACAUUCUCUUUUAAAAUUGUUAAUUAAAUUGGUGCAUUGACCCGUUUAUUGAUUUUGGAAAAAUAGAAAACUUUCCCUUCCCUUCAUUUAGCCGCUACUUCAAAAGGGAGGUAUACCUAUUACCCUUAAUUCUUUUAUGUACUCCUAUUUGCUUUUAUGUGUUUAUAUGUUUUCUGCAUUUUCUUUCAUUUAUUUACUUUAACCUUUUAUUCAUUUUAUACAUGUUUAAUUUAAGUCUUGUGAUUAUUUGGAGGGUCUUUGAAUACCCAAAUUGUAAUAGAUAGGUAAUAUCCUCCUGUGCAAGAAAUGUAAUUAGAUAACCAAUGCAAUUAAUUGGUUUUAUUUUUUUUGCAAGAAAUGUAAUUAGCUAGAUAAAUGUAAUAGAUAGGUUAGAUAGGAUUAUUGUCUUAUGUUUCCCCUUUUAGAUUGUAGUUAGAACUUUCAAUAUAAUAGUUAGGUCUUAUUGCUUGCGUAUUGGCGUGUUUAUGUGCUUAUAUGUUUACUUGCUUUUUCUAGAAUUUUACAACUAAAUAUUAUGCCUAUGUGCUAUGUGAUUUAUGGUUUUAUUUGCUUUAA
RNAcentral lists this long non-coding RNA (2340 nucleotides) under Coffea arabica (coffee). RNAcentral describes it as "long non-coding RNA (CARA_LNC000597)". Lineage: Eukaryota; Viridiplantae; Streptophyta; Magnoliopsida; Gentianales; Rubiaceae. The record is from RNAcentral.